UGCUCUGCUGCAAUGGCGAUGGUGGCGCGCUGAAGAGCGGAGUUGGCCGAGUUUCCCUUUGUUUUACGACGCAUUCUUCAGUCAUGCACGACCAUCCAGCGCUAAAUCCGGCUUGAAGAAGGGCGUGGAUCUUACAUUUUAUCUGCGGCCCCAGUGGCUGGGCUGUAAGCAAACAGCAGCCUACAUGCAACCGCCCCGAUACUUCUCACAUUUGCAUGCGAUAAGCGACCAGCACCCACCCAUCCCUCUCUUUCCAGCAGCUGAUCUGAGCCACAACAAGCCCUCUGGCCGGUGAGGACCUGGAGCUGUCUGACCCAGCUGGAUCAUUAUGGCAGAGCGCAGUUCCACCGGAUUACUGAUGAUGAUGCUGGACCCGUCGCCGGCGAUCGCGAUGACUCUCCCGGCGGAGGUGCGCGAGAAGCUGGCGGAGCUCGAGCUGGAGCUCUCCGAGGCAUCUGCUCCCACUGAAGCCUGUCUGUCCUGAAGAGCUAGUUCCAGCACUGCACACUUUCCGGAGCUCAUAACCCUUACAGUCUACACCUGUAUUUCCUGCUGUAGCCUGGGACGUAAGCUGGGGCUGACAGUGUUAACAUAACCUCAACUAUAGCUCAGCGCUGGGCAGGCCGUUGGUGUGAUAACCUACUUAUACUGUACCUACACAGCAGAGAGUGGGUUUCUGGGCCCUGUGUCAAAAGCUUUAGCUGGCAAGAACAGCUGGAGUGGAUUUUUAAGUAAAACAUUUGUUCAGUUUUGUUCAUUUUGUAAAAGAAGAAAAAAGGACAGACUUAGUAGUUUUUUUUUUAACUCCUAUCGUGACCAGCAAACCUAGUGACAUCACACAGAAAGGCUAUGAAAAGAAAAGAGGGAAAUUACUGGCGCCCUACAUACCCCAGAUA
Sinocyclocheilus anshuiensis is the source of this 896-nucleotide long non-coding RNA. RefSeq lists it as uncharacterized. The transcript has 3 exons. NCBI's taxonomy places the organism in Eukaryota, Metazoa, Chordata, Actinopteri, Cypriniformes, Cyprinidae. The record is from RefSeq and is a predicted model, not a curated record.